GCAUAGAGAGCUUGCUCUCUGAUGGCGAGUGGCGAACGGGUGAGUAAUAUAUCGGAACGUGCCCAGUAAUGGGGAAUAACUAGCCGAAAGGUUAGCUAAUACCGCAUACGACCUACGGGUGAAAGCAGGGGAUCUUAGGACCUUGCGUUAUUGGAGCGGCCGAUAUCUGAUUAGCUUGUUGGUGGGGUAAAAGCCUACCAAGGCAACGAUCAGUAGCUGGUCUGAGAGGACGAUCAGCCACACUGGAACUGAGACACGGUCCAGACUCCUACGGGAGGCAGCAGUGGGGAAUUUUGGACAAUGGGGGAAACCCUGAUCCAGCCAUCCCGCGUGAGUGAAGAAGGCCUUCGGGUUGUAAAGCUCUUUCGAAAGUGAAGAAAACUUAUUUCAUAAUAUGUUAUGAGUAUGACGGUAACUUUAGAAGAAGCACCGGCUAACUACGUGCCAGCAGCCGCGGUAAUACGUAGGGUGCGAGCGUUAAUCGGAAUUACUGGGCGUAAAGCGUGCGCAGGCGGUUUUGUAAGUCAGAUGUGAAAUCCCCGAGCUUAACUUGGGAACUGCGUUUGAAACUACAAGACUAGAGUGUGUCAGAGGGGGGUAGAAUUCCACGUGUAGCAGUGAAAUGCGUAGAGAUGUGGAGGAAUACCAAUGGCGAAGGCAGCCCCCUGGGAUAACACUGACGCUCAUGCACGAAAGCGUGGGGAGCGAACAGGAUUAGAUACCCUGGUAGUCCACGCCCUAAACGAUGUCAACUAGUUGUUGGUGGAGUAAGAUCCAUGAGUAACGUAGCUAACGCGUGAAGUUGACCGCCUGGGGAGUACGGUCGCAAGAUUAAAACUCAAAUGAAUUGACGG
Molecule: ribosomal RNA, 854 nt
Filed under: uncultured Nitrosomonadales bacterium
Lineage: Bacteria; Pseudomonadati; Pseudomonadota; Betaproteobacteria; Nitrosomonadales
Description: bacterial SSU rRNA
Rfam family: Bacterial small subunit ribosomal RNA
Source: RNAcentral